RNAcentral lists this non-coding RNA (45 nucleotides) under Echinostoma caproni. The record is from RNAcentral. Lineage: Eukaryota; Metazoa; Platyhelminthes; Trematoda; Plagiorchiida; Echinostomatidae.
GCACUGCUGACGAGUCCGACACAAGAUGAAACAGCUGUGCAGUGC